Pipistrellus kuhlii (Kuhl's pipistrelle) is the source of this 777-nucleotide long non-coding RNA. RefSeq lists it as uncharacterized. Lineage: Eukaryota; Metazoa; Chordata; Mammalia; Chiroptera; Vespertilionidae. The transcript has 2 exons. The record is from RefSeq and is a predicted model, not a curated record.
UGAGUCAAUGAGGAGAAAAUCAACAGAAUAGCACUGAGCCUUCAAAAUGUACUGGACUUUGGAAUCUGUCCCUAUGCUGAGACUGCUUCUCCCAUGUUUGUUAUUUGGAUCUGAGUCCAGUUACUAAACAGAUAUGUCUAGUCUUCAGUGUCUUUGCCUGUUAAAAGUUGAUGUUAAUACUAUCAAGGGUUGUAACAAGGUUUAAAAGAAGCAAUGAGUGUUUAUAUAUUACAUGUCUAGUGUCUUUUUUUUUAAAGUUUAAAGUGUCUUACAAAGGUAAAGAUGCAGUAAAAUACAAUUUAAAAAAUGAACUGAAAUAAGGAAGAUAAAGGUAGAAAGUAGGCUAUGACUGAACACAGUUUGUACAAAAGUCAUGCAUCAUACUAGCUGUACAUGGAAUUAUAUUUGAACAGUGCUAUACAACCAGAGGUGAUUUUGUUCCUCAGACAUUUGACAAUGUGUGUAGACAUCUGGGUUGUCACACUGGGGGAGAAGACACACUCCAUAAUGAAGAAUUACCUAGCCCAGGUGUCAGGAUGGGAAAGUCUGCCAGACAACAUGCUAAUAACGCUCUUACACUUGCAUUCCCCGGCAUUGACUGUUACAGACUUUGGAAGAGGGAGGUGAUUCUGAGGACUAAAGCUACCCCAGAAGCUUCUAGAGAGUAAACAGAACUUGAGCUGAGCUGUGAAGAAUCCAGAGAAGUAAAAGACAUGAAGGGCAAAGGAAUGGGUAAAAACAAGUCAGGACAGAAGAGAAGGAAUGCCACUCAUUUCA